GAUGAACGCUGACAGAAUGCUUAACACAUGCAAGUCUACUUGAACUUCGGUUUGGGUGGCGGACGGGUGAGUAACGCGUAAAGAACUUGCCUCACAGUUAGGGACAACAUUUGGAAACGAAUGCUAAUACCUGAUAUUAUGAUUUUAGGGCAUCCUAGGAUUAUGAAAGCUAUAUGUGCUGUGAGAGAGCUUUGCGUCCCAUUAGCUAGUUGGAGAGGUAACGGCUCACCAAGGCGAUGAUGGGUAGCCGGCCUGAGAGGGUGAACGGCCACAAGGGGACUGAGACACGGCCCGUACGCCUACGGGAGGCAGCAGUGGGGAAUAUUGGACAAUGGACCAAAAGUCUGAUCCAGCAAUUCUGUGUGCACGAUGACGUUUUUCGGAAUGUAAAGUGCUUUCAGUUGGGAAGAAAAAAAUGACGGUACCAACAGAAGAAGUGACGGCUAAAUACGUG
RNAcentral lists this ribosomal RNA (454 nucleotides) under uncultured bacterium. RNAcentral's name for it is "partial 16S ribosomal RNA". It matches the Rfam family "Bacterial small subunit ribosomal RNA", at positions 28 to 507 of the family's 1533-position model. The record is from RNAcentral.